AUUGAACGCUGGCGGCAUGCCUUACACAUGCAAGUCGAACGGCAGCACGGGAGCAAUCCUGGUGGCGAGUGGCGUACGGGUGAGUAAAGUAUCGGAACGUGCCCAGUCGUGGGGGAUAACGUAGCGAAAGUUACGCUAAUACCGCAUACGAUCUAUGGAUGAAAGCGGGGGAUCGCAAGAGCUCGCGCGAUUGGAGAGGCCGAUAUCAGAUUAGGUAGUUGGGGGGGUAAAGGCUCACCAAGCCGACGAUCUGUAGCUGGUCUGAGAGGACGACCAGCCACACUGGGACUGAGACACGGCCCAGACUCCUACGGGAGGCAGCAGCGGGGAAUUUUGGACAAUGGGCGAAAGCCUGAUCCAGCCAUGCCGCGUGUAGGAUGAAGGCCUUCGGGUUGUAAACUGCUUUUGUACGGAACGAAAAGGUUUGGCCUAAUAAGUUGAGCUCAUGACGGUACCGUAAGAAUAAGCACCGGCUAACUACGUGCCAGCCGCCGCGGUAA
This 500-nucleotide ribosomal RNA is filed under the name uncultured bacterium. Its description in RNAcentral is "partial 16S ribosomal RNA". It matches the Rfam family "Bacterial small subunit ribosomal RNA", at positions 30 to 523 of the family's 1533-position model. The record is from RNAcentral.